CUACGGGUUGCUGCAGUGGGGAAUAUUGCACAAUGGAGGAAACUCUGAUGCAGCAACGCCGCGUGGAGGAUGACACUUUUCGGAGCGUAAACUCCUUUUAUAUAGGAAGAAGAUGGCGAUACUAUAUGAAUAAGCGCCGGCUAACUCCGUGCCAGCAGCCGCGGUAAUACAGAGGGCGCAAGCGUUACUCGGAAUCACUGGGCGUAAAGAGCGUGUAGGCGGAUUAAAAAGUCAGAAGUGAAAUCCUAUAGCUUAACUAUAGAACUGCUUCUGAAACUCUUAAUCUAGAAUAUGGGAGAGGUAGAUGGAAUUUCUGGUGUAGGGGUAAAAUCCGUAGAGAUCAGAAGGAAUACCGAUUGCGAAGGCGAUCUACUAGAACAUUAUUGACGCUGAGACGCGAAAGCGUGGGGAGCAAACAGGAUUAGAUACCCGCGUAGUC
Molecule: ribosomal RNA, 439 nt
Filed under: uncultured bacterium
Lineage: Bacteria
Description: partial 16S ribosomal RNA
Rfam family: Bacterial small subunit ribosomal RNA
Source: RNAcentral